RNAcentral lists this ribosomal RNA (497 nucleotides) under uncultured bacterium. Its description in RNAcentral is "partial 16S ribosomal RNA". It matches the Rfam family "Bacterial small subunit ribosomal RNA", at positions 28 to 507 of the family's 1533-position model. The record is from RNAcentral.
GAUGAACGCUGGCGGCGUGCCUAAUACAUGCAAGUCGAGCGAACGGACGAGAAGCUUGCUUUUCUGAUGUUAGCGGCGGACGGGUGAGUAACACGUGGAUAACCUACCUAUAAGACUGGGAUAACUUCGGGAAACCGGAGCUAAUACCGGAUAAUAUUUUGAACCGCAUGGUUCAAAAGUGAAAGACGGUCUUGCUGUCACUUAUAGAUGGAUCCGCGCUGCAUUAGCUAGUUGUUAAGGUAACGGCUUACCAAGGCAACGAUGCAUAGCCGACCUGAGAGGGGGAUCGGCCACAUUGGAACUGAGACACGGUCCAGACUCCUACGGGAGGCAGCAGUAUGGAAUCUUCCGCAAUGGUCGAAAGCCUGACGGAGCAACGCCGAGUGAGUGAUGAAGGUCUUCGGAUCGUAAAACUCUGUUAUUAGGGAAGAACAUAUGUGUAAGUAACUGUGCACAUCUUGACGGUACCUAAUCAGAAAGCCACGGCUAACUACGUG